Non-coding RNA from Microcebus murinus (gray mouse lemur), 479 nucleotides. The record is from RefSeq and is a predicted model, not a curated record. Lineage: Eukaryota; Metazoa; Chordata; Mammalia; Primates; Cheirogaleidae.
UCUCUCUUCUGCUCUGACUUGUAGCUAAAGCUCAAGGCUGUCUUUCAUCUCUGCCACCUUAGCCUGUGCAUGCAAAAGAGGAGAAGAUUGCUCCAGAGAAUCCGCAACUCACCCAAGGGCAAAGAAAUGCUUUGUGGAAGUUUUCAGCCUAUGUGCAAAUCUUGUAAUUAUAGAGCUGAACUCAAGAUAGAAGACGGAUUUUUUUUCUUCCCUUCAAAUCUUAGAGAUCUAGGUUAUCCUGAUGGAAGCCUCCUAUUCUCUGCAAUUCACCCCUGCUUUCCAGUGGGAUGUGGUUUACAUUGCUGGCUGCAAACUGGAAGGUAGUGGCUUACAGCUGCUGUUGUCAUCCAAACCCUGGAGAUCUCCAGAUUUCCUUUUUCAUAAGGACACCAUUAUAUGGCACUGCAGAUCCACCCUAUUCCACCGACCACAUGGUCACAUUCUGCAGCACCGGGAGCUCAGAAUUCCACAACAAGUAA